GUAGCUUAUACAUAAAGCACCUGGCCUACACCCAGAAGAUUCCACUAAAAAUGGCCACUUUGA
RNAcentral lists this transfer RNA (63 nucleotides) under Syconycteris australis (southern blossom bat). RNAcentral describes it as "tRNA-Val". Lineage: Eukaryota; Metazoa; Chordata; Mammalia; Chiroptera; Pteropodidae. The record is from RNAcentral.